GGUCACACAAGAGACCCAAAUUAACAGUAUACGGCGUAAAGAGUGGUAUCAUGUUAUCGUAACAACUAAGAUGAAAGUGCAACUGAGCUGUCAUAAGCCCAAGGUGCUCCUAAGGCCGCCCUCAAGACGAUCUUAGCACACACGACCAAUUAAACCCCACGAAAGCUAGGACACAAACUGGGAUUAGAUACCCCACUAUGCCUAGCCCUAAAUCUCGAUGCUUGGCCCACCAAAGCAUCCGCCUGAGAACUACGAGCACAAACGCUUAAAACUCUAAGGACUUGGCGGUGCCCCAAACCCACCUAGAGGAGCCUGUCCUAUAAUCGAUAACCCACGAUGCACCCAACCAUUCCUUGCCAAAACAGCCUACAUACCGCCGUCGCCAGCUCACCUCCCCUGAGAGCACAACAGUGAACAUAAUAGCCCUAACCCGCUAGCAAGACAGGUCAAGGUAUAGCUCACGGAAUGGAAGAGAUGGGCUACAUUUUCUAAAAUAGAAAACUUAACGAAAAGGAGUGUGAAACCACUCCUAGAAGGCGGAUUUAGCAGUAAAGCGGGAUAAUAAAGCCCCCUUUAAGUUGGCCCCUGGGGCACGUACAUACCGCCCGUCACCCUCCUCACAAGCUACCAAACACCCAUAACUAAUACACCCACCAGCUGAAGAUGAGGUAAGUCGUAACAAGGUAAGUGUACCGGAAGGUGCACUUAGCACACCAAGGCG
RNAcentral lists this non-coding RNA (721 nucleotides) under Phoenicopterus ruber ruber. RNAcentral describes it as "Bacterial small subunit ribosomal RNA". It matches the Rfam family "Bacterial small subunit ribosomal RNA", at positions 519 to 1533 of the family's 1533-position model. Lineage: Eukaryota; Metazoa; Chordata; Aves; Phoenicopteriformes; Phoenicopteridae. The record is from Rfam by way of RNAcentral.